UCCUCCCAAGCAGGUGUCCACAGGAGCAGAACAGCCCAUGCAGCAACAUCUGGGCUGCCUUCAACAUCUGGGUUGGCAAAGCAGAGGAAACUCCAAAAAACAGACAGAGUUCCAAACACAGGUGUUAGUUCCCAUCCUCCUGGAAGAAUCUUCCUUUGAUUUGUCAAGGUUGAGUGAAACCAGACCCCUGGAAACCAAUGAUCUCCUCUGAGGAGGACCCAGGGCUUCACCUCACAGGGCAGGUCCUUGGCCACACUGAGGCAUGUCUGAGGUCCAGAAGGAGAGUGGAGGAAUUGGCCAGAGCAGGAGUGUGGAGAGAGACCCCCAGUGCCUCUGGAGGUGCAGGGCCAGGAGCUGCCCCGAGGGAAAGAUCCCUGGAGAAGCAUCCCUGCCCAUCCCUGCCCAUCCCUGUCCCUCCCUGUCCCUCCCUGUCCAUCCCUGUCCAUCCCAUCCUCAUCCCUGUCCAUCCCUGUCC
Long non-coding RNA from Oenanthe melanoleuca, 475 nucleotides. RefSeq lists it as uncharacterized. The record is from RefSeq and is a predicted model, not a curated record. Lineage: Eukaryota; Metazoa; Chordata; Aves; Passeriformes; Muscicapidae. The transcript is spliced from 3 exons.